This is a long non-coding RNA of Triplophysa dalaica, 719 nucleotides long. RefSeq lists it as uncharacterized. The transcript is spliced from 3 exons. NCBI's taxonomy places the organism in Eukaryota, Metazoa, Chordata, Actinopteri, Cypriniformes, Nemacheilidae. The record is from RefSeq and is a predicted model, not a curated record.
CUCGCGCUUGCGGCGGGACGCUCGCGACGAAGUGGUUGCCGCCGCUGACACUGGAAGAUUAGCCCGAGCGGCACUUUCACUACGCGCCGGUAAUUUAGUGCAGGUUUUGGAGAUACAAGCUUUUAGACCAACGGCGGCGAUUGCAGGUGCAUGAACAUAUGGACGUACUAACCCUGAGCCAAUCUAUCAGCAGUCUCCCCAUGAGCAAGCCAACAUGGCCCAAAGGCAAGGACCCAAAACUCCAAUGAUGAAAAAAUAUAUAGAAAAAACAUAGGGAGAAACCAGUCUCAUCCUGGAGGGCCAUGUCUUCUCUGACAUGUUACAGCUGCACUACAGCUGUAAAAUAACUGUUAAAAUAAAUAAAGUAAAUCAAUGGUAUUGACAGGCAUGGAUAAGACAAUGAUAUUCUCCUAUGUUUGAUUUCUCAGUGAAAGGCUGUUUGUAUCUGUGAUUCAGGUUGAUUUAUUGUUCUGAGUUUCUCAACGUUUUCUCAUGGAUGAUAGAAGUGGUGUUGAGUGUCCCAUUCCCAGGCUGUUGUAGGGUGAUUACUGUCUUUCUGAACAAUAACGUGGGAACCCGCUCUGAAAUCUAUCAGAUAAUGACCCAUCUCUGUUAGAAGAGAAAUUGCCGAGGAGUUUGCCUGCUCUUUGCAAAUCUUUCUAAUUUCAGGUCCUCUUGCCUCCACUCUCCUCCUCUCUCUCUCUCUUCUCCUCUCGUCU